CACGCUGUGCAGUGUACCACAGGGACAGGCUAAGAAGCAGAGGUUGGGUGGGGGAGGGUGGCACUGAGGAAAAGGUGACCUGCAGAGGUGCAGCAGCAGAGAGGAAGGGCAUGGGGCACACACAGCUCACCACCUCCCAGUGUAUGCCUGAGCCCUGCUUCAGCCAGCACCCAUGAGGAGAGAAUUCAGAUGUGGGAGCAGGUUUUACAGGGGUGGGAUCUUCCCUUGCAUGACACGCUGCUUCUGAGGUAUUCAUCGCCCCCAGUGACCAGGCAGCCGGGGCUGGGCUCACCAGCACAUGGAGGAAGCGUGAGAGUUCAAGGAGAUUGAUUAGGGAGCAGAUUCUCCAGAGCAGAAAUGGGCCCCACAUGUACCACAUGCCUCCCUCAAAAGGAGUUAUGCUCAUGAUUCUACAUUCAAACCACUGAAGAAGAUGAUCUGAAAACCAGGCCAAGAAGGAAAAUGGAAGUAAAACAAUACCAGCUGGCCCUUAUUUAGGUCAACACCUGAAGGAUGCUACUCCCUGCUCUCAUGCUUUGCCUUCCUCUUCCUUCCUCUUGAACAGGGAUGGCAAAUACUUGGCGUGCAUAUUGCUAUUGUCUGACCUUCCCCACCUCUUUGCAUGGAACUCCUCCCCAUUUCACUUAGAUACAGCUUCAGACUCUUUCUCAACACUCCAGUGAGCCAUGGCCAAUCUACUAAGUUGGUAUGUGAGAUUAAACCUAUUUAA
Long non-coding RNA from Manis javanica (Malayan pangolin), 730 nucleotides. RefSeq lists it as uncharacterized. Lineage: Eukaryota; Metazoa; Chordata; Mammalia; Pholidota; Manidae. The record is from RefSeq and is a predicted model, not a curated record.